CGUGGAGGUCCGAACUCACUGCAGUUGAAAAUGCAGGGGUAUGAGGUGUGGUCGGAGUGAAAGGCUAAUCAAACCGGGAGAUUAGCUGGUUCUCGCCGAAAGAUAUUUAGGUAUCGCCUCGAGAAACUCUGUCGAGGAGGUAGAGCACUGGAUGGGCUAGGGGUCUUACCAGAUUACCAAACCCAACCAAACUCCUAAUGCCUCGACAUUUACCUCGGGAGUCAGGCUGUGGGAGCUAAGUUCCAUGGCCAAAAGGGAAAGAGCCCAGACCGCCAGCUAAGGUCCCUAAGUCGUUGCUAAGUGGGAAAGGAUGUGGAAGCACACAGACAACCAGGAGGUUGGCUUAGAAGCAGCCAUCCUUUAAAGAAAGCGUAAUAGCUCACUGGUCAAGUGAAUCCGCGCCAAAAAAUUUAACGGGGCUUAAGUAACGCACCGAAGCUGCGGGUUGAUUUAUCAGCGG
Molecule: ribosomal RNA, 460 nt
Filed under: uncultured bacterium
Lineage: Bacteria
Description: bacterial LSU rRNA
Rfam family: Bacterial large subunit ribosomal RNA
Source: RNAcentral